This 440-nucleotide ribosomal RNA is filed under the name uncultured bacterium. RNAcentral describes it as "partial 16S ribosomal RNA". It matches the Rfam family "Bacterial small subunit ribosomal RNA", at positions 338 to 795 of the family's 1533-position model. The record is from RNAcentral.
CCUACGGGUGGCUGCAGUGGGGAAUAUUGCACAAUGGGGGGAACCUUGAUGCAGCAACGCCGCGUGGGUGAAGAAGUACUCCGGUAUGUAAAGCCCUGUCAGCAGGGAAGAAAAUGACGGUACCUGACCAAGAAGCCCCGGCUAACUACGUACCAGCAGCCGCGGCAAUACGUGGGGGGCCAGCGUUAUCCGGAUUUACUGGGGGUAAUGGGAGCGUAGACGGUAAUGCAAGUCUGGAGUGAAAGCCCGUGGCCCAACCACGGGACUGCUUUGGAAAAUGUGUGGCUUGAGUGCAGGAGGGGUAAGCGGAAUGCCUAGUGUAGCGGUGAAAUGCUUAGAUAUUAGGAGGAACACCGGUGGCGAAGGCGGCUUGCUGGACUGUAACUGACGUUGAGGCUCGAAGGCGUGGGGAGCAAACAGGAUUAGAUACCCCGGUAGUC